Mesocricetus auratus (golden hamster) is the source of this 45-nucleotide non-coding RNA. The record is from Rfam. NCBI's taxonomy places the organism in Eukaryota, Metazoa, Chordata, Mammalia, Rodentia, Cricetidae.
CCAAAGGCUCUUUUCAGAGCCACCCAGAGAGCUCUGUGAAUGUAG